CAAACAAUGAUCUGGACCUGAAACAUCCAGAGCCUGAAAGGGAUCUUGAUGAAGAAAUGCCUCAGCAAGGCUCAGAAGCCAUGCAUUCUUCUUCAGUGCAAGAUUUUGAAGAGACUGAGACCAGCCAGAUUCAGAAGACUGUGAGCUGCCUAA
Non-coding RNA from Maylandia zebra (zebra mbuna), 153 nucleotides. NCBI's taxonomy places the organism in Eukaryota, Metazoa, Chordata, Actinopteri, Cichliformes, Cichlidae. The record is from RefSeq and is a predicted model, not a curated record.